RNAcentral lists this long non-coding RNA (407 nucleotides) under Equus caballus (horse). RNAcentral describes it as "lncRNA (ENSECAG00000055646.1)". Lineage: Eukaryota; Metazoa; Chordata; Mammalia; Perissodactyla; Equidae. The record is from RNAcentral.
GACAGUAUAUGUCGUCGAUGAUCACAUGAGAAUGUUUUCUCUUGAACAUGCAGCAGAAACAAGAUUCCGGUGUGGGGAAAAGUAAAUGGGACUUGUUUAAACAGAGUAUGAGGAGUUGCUUUCACGAAGUUUGGCUGUGAAGAGGAGGAAAAGGAGAGCCAGGGUGCUGCUGGAAGGAGGCUGAGGUAACUACUUGUUUGAAGUAAUAAUAGCAACAAUGUAUUGGGAGAUUAUAGUUUAUUGAUAAAUGAGAUGAAUGGCGUCAAUGUUAGAAGAAUUGAGAACACUCUGUUAUAAGAAAGUUAAAGGAUCUAAGGUAACAUCUGGAAGAAGAAAUAGGUGAAAUGACCAAAUGGUGGGAUCUGUUUUAAAAUAUUUGAGAUUAAAAAGCAAAGCGUGGAGGAGAG